AGGGCCGUAGCCCAACAGGUAGAGGCGCAGAGCUUAGGACUCUGACAGUGCGGGUUCGAAUCCCGUCGGCCCUA
RNAcentral lists this transfer RNA (74 nucleotides) under Nocardiopsaceae bacterium. Its description in RNAcentral is "tRNA-Leu". It matches the Rfam family "tRNA". From Rfam's summary of the family: Transfer RNA (tRNA) molecules are approximately 80 nucleotides in length. Their secondary structure includes four short double-helical elements and three loops (D, anti-codon, and T loops). The record is from RNAcentral. Lineage: Bacteria; Bacillati; Actinomycetota; Actinomycetes; Streptosporangiales; Nocardiopsidaceae.